UAGACGCUGGCGGNCGCCUACACAUGCAAGUCGAGCGGAAACGACUUAACUGAACCUUCGGGGAACGUUAAGGGCGUCGAGCGGCGGACGGGUGAGUAAUGCCUAGGAAAUUGCCUUGAUGUGGGGGAUAACCAUUGGAAACGAUGGCUAAUACCGCAUAAUGCCUACGGGCCAAAGAGGGGGACCUUCGGGCCUCUCGCGUCAAGAUAUGCCUAGGUGGGAUUAGCUAGUUGGUGAGGUAAGGGCUCACCAAGGCGACGAUCCCUAGCUGGUCUGAGAGGAUGAUCAGCCACACUGGAACUGAGACACGGUCCAGACUCCUACGGGAGGCAGCAGUGGGGAAUAUUGCACAAUGGGCGCAAGCCUGAUGCAGCCAUGCCGCGUGUAUGAAGAAGGCCUUCGGGUC
RNAcentral lists this ribosomal RNA (406 nucleotides) under uncultured Vibrio sp. Its description in RNAcentral is "bacterial SSU rRNA". It matches the Rfam family "Bacterial small subunit ribosomal RNA", at positions 30 to 424 of the family's 1533-position model. Lineage: Bacteria; Pseudomonadati; Pseudomonadota; Gammaproteobacteria; Vibrionales; Vibrionaceae. The record is from RNAcentral.